Molecule: ribosomal RNA, 460 nt
Filed under: uncultured bacterium
Lineage: Bacteria
Description: partial 16S ribosomal RNA
Rfam family: Bacterial small subunit ribosomal RNA
Source: RNAcentral
CCUACGGGUGGCAGCAGUGAGGAAUAUUGGUCAAUGGACGCAAGUCUGAACCAGCCAAGCAGCGUGCAGGAAGACGGCCCUAUGAGUUGUAAACUGCUUUUGUACGAGGGUAAACGCAGAUACGCGUAUCUUUCUGAACGUAUCUUACGAAUAAGGAUCGGCUAACUCCGUGCCAGCCGCCGCGGUAAUACGGAGGAUUCAAGCGUUAUCCGGAUUUAUUUGGUUUAAAGGGUGCGUAGACGGGCAGUUAGGUUAGAGGUGAAAACCCGAGGCUCAACUGCGGAAUUGCAUCUGAUACUGUUCGGCUAGAGAGUAGUUGCGGUAGGCGGAAUGUAUGGUGUAGCGGUGAAAUGCUUAGAGAUCAUACAGAACACCGAUUGCGAAGGCAGCUUACCAAGCUACGUCUGACGUUGAGGCACGAAAGCGUGGGGAGCAAACAGGAUUAGAUACCCCAGUAGUA